This 253-nucleotide ribosomal RNA is filed under the name uncultured microorganism. RNAcentral's name for it is "partial small subunit ribosomal RNA". It matches the Rfam family "Bacterial small subunit ribosomal RNA", at positions 524 to 776 of the family's 1533-position model. The record is from RNAcentral.
UACGUAGGGAGCAAGCGUUGUCCGGAUUUACUGGGUGUAAAGGGUGCGUAGGCGGUACUGCAAGUCAGGCGUGAAAUAUAUGGGCUUAACCCAUAGACUGCGUUUGAAACUGUGGUGCUUGAGUGAAGUAGAGGUAGGCGGAAUUCCCGGUGUAGCGGUGAAAUGCGUAGAGAUCGGGAGGAACACCAGUGGCGAAGGCGGCUUACUGGGCUUUAACUGACGCUGAGGCACGAAAGCAUGGGUAGCAAACAGG